GUCCUUGAUCAGGUCAGCCCUCUUUAAGGAAGGAAGGAUGCCCUUGGAGAAUAAGGACUAACCCACAACUCCCACAGAGGGGUUUCUCUAGAGGAAGAAGUUGUUGCUUUCCUGAGAGAGGAGGACUGAAAUGGAAUGCUUUUUUUUCUUUUUUUUUGUUUUUGCAUCAGCAUGUAAAUCGCAAAUAUGCUAAGCUUUUGGGUUUUACAUCUUCACUCUAGUGCUCUGCUGCUGCAUUUGUUUACAGGCGGAAUAAACGGUGUCUUCUGGCAGCCUUUGCCCUUACUAGGCCCACUCGACCAUGGAACUGGUUCUGAAGAAGGGUCAGUAUAAGGUGCAGGUUCCUCCUUUCCACUGCCCUUCCCAGCAGGGGGCAUCUGGCCCCAGGUCUAGUCAGAUGCUCCUGAGUCAGAGGACAGGGGACACUCUAGGCUGAGGUCAUCCUAGCCUCUCUCUGCUCUGUAUCCCUCCCUUCAGACCCAGGUUUAUUAACAAAGUAACCAUGUAGGUUUGUCCCCAGGUUCUGAAGAAGAAAAAAAAAGGCCUUGUUUUGUUUCUGUAGCCCUUCACUGUCCUCUGGUUUCCCCUCCAACAUGUAGGAAACCCUUCCUGAUUGCUAACUACAUUUCCUGGCAUUAUGAAGUUCGGGGAAGACAGGAGAUACACCAUGACACUCGCUGCUGUUUUAAAAUAAACAAAAGUAGAAAGCAAGAGAAUUCUUGGGGAAGCUCUCUGUAGGAUUUGAGAGCAGGUAGCAGUGACCCUCAAGAGAAAACUGUCAAUUUUCCCUUAGCUUGCUCCCAAGCCUCUCCAACUGUGAUGUUUAGGCCCCUUCAAGAGGGACCUGGAGGUUCAACACUGUUUAGUCCCCUGUUCCCCCCGCUUGUCUCAGUAGACUGUUUUCAGAUGAGUACCUCUCUUGGGCUGCAGAUGUAUCUGCUUUGACACCAUAAAAGGCUUUAUUUACCCAAAUAAAAGGGCAGAAAGCAA
This 990-nucleotide long non-coding RNA is filed under the name Rattus norvegicus (Norway rat). RNAcentral's name for it is "long non-coding RNA NONRATT015576". Lineage: Eukaryota; Metazoa; Chordata; Mammalia; Rodentia; Muridae. The record is from RNAcentral.